CUCAGUGGUAAGCACUUGGCUGUCAUGCACAAGGGCCUGGGUUCCAUUCCCAGUGCUACAAAAAAUGAAAGUUAAAAAAAAAUUCAGGGAUUAAAAACUGGGCAACAAUGAAAACUCUUGAGAAAUCAGCCUCUACCUCAGAGCAAAGCCUGUCCAAGGAAGGGGGCGUGACCCUCGUCUUUGGAAAGAUCCACAGAGCACUCUUAGGCACAUACCCACCCUGCUGAGUUGUUUAUGUACAAAUAACAGGAGAGAUCUGCUGCGCCAGGUGUCCCUGACUCAGUCAGGCUAGGUGGGAACCCACAACCCCCUAGCAACCACCAAUCAGCAUGAGACAGGGAAAAUACCUGGGAUGCCAGGUGACCCUCCCAGUAGUUUAUGGUGGUUGAUAACGUGUUGGGAAACCAUGUAGUUCAGCACGUACACCCCUCAAGGCUUAAACCAGUCAGUUCAAAGGAAUCCCCCUCUUGUACUAACCAAUCACCCCUACCUAAAUUGUUCCCACCAGUGAAUGUGCUAAUCAUGUUUUAGAGCUGUUUUAUGAUUUUCCCAUGGUGUGUGUUGAUUGCUAAGAGAUGCUAUGAUGUAUGAGAAGUCCCUGCCUUCCCCAAAGAGUGUAUAAAACUGCU
This 629-nucleotide long non-coding RNA is filed under the name Marmota monax (woodchuck). Lineage: Eukaryota; Metazoa; Chordata; Mammalia; Rodentia; Sciuridae. The record is from RNAcentral.